Molecule: ribosomal RNA, 469 nt
Filed under: [Eubacterium] infirmum
Lineage: Bacteria; Bacillati; Bacillota; Clostridia; Peptostreptococcales; Anaerovoracaceae
Description: bacterial SSU rRNA
Rfam family: Bacterial small subunit ribosomal RNA
Source: RNAcentral
GAUGAACGCUGGCGGCGUGCCUAACACAUGCAAGUCGAGCGAGAAGUAAAGAAAUGAAGCUUCGGUAGAUUUUCAUUAUGGAAAGCGGCGGACGGGUGAGUAACGCGUAGGCAACCUGCCCUGUACAGGGGGAUAGCCACCCGAAAAGGUGAUUAAUACCCCAUGAUGCAAGAGAUACACAUGUAUCACUUGUCAAAGAUUUAUCGGUAUGGGAUGGGCCUGCGUCUGAUUAGCUAGUUGGUAGGGUAACGGCUUACCAAGGCAACGAUCAGUAGCCGACCUGAGAGGGUGAUCGGCCACAUUGGAACUGAGACACGGUCCAAACUCCUACGGGAGGCAGCAGUGGGGAAUAUUGCACAAUGGGGGAAACCCUGAUGCAGCAACGCCGCGUGAAGGAAGAAGGCCUUCGGGUUGUAAACUUCUGUCCUAGGGGAAGAAACAAAUGACAUACCCUGGAGGAAGCCCCGCA